GAUGAACGCUAGCGGCAGGCCUAACACAUGCAAGUCGAGGGGUAGCAGGAUUAAGCUUGCUUAAUUGCUGACGACCGGCGCACGGGUGCGUAACGCGUAUGCAACCUACCUUAUACUGGGGUAUAGCCCGGAGAAAUUCGGAUUAAUCCCCCAUAGUACUAAUGAAUCGCAUGGUUUAUUAGUUAAAGCAUUGCGGUAUAAGAUGGGCAUGCGUCCUAUUAGCUAGAUGGUGAGGUAACGGCUCACCAUGGCUACGAUAGGUAGGGGGCCUGAGAGGGUGUUCCCCCACACUGGUACUGGGACGCGGACCAGACUCCUACGGGAGGCAGCAGUGAGUAAUAUUGGUCAAUGGGCGCAAGCCUGAACCAGCCAUGCCGCGUGCAGGAAGAAUGCCCUAUGGGUUGUAAACUGCUUUUAUUUGGGAAUAAACCUUUUUACGUGUAGAGAGCUGAAGGUACCAAAUGAAUAAGCACCGGCUAACUCCGUGCCAGCAGCCGCCGUAA
RNAcentral lists this ribosomal RNA (503 nucleotides) under uncultured bacterium. RNAcentral's name for it is "partial 16S ribosomal RNA". It matches the Rfam family "Bacterial small subunit ribosomal RNA", at positions 28 to 523 of the family's 1533-position model. The record is from RNAcentral.